RNAcentral lists this ribosomal RNA (617 nucleotides) under uncultured bacterium. RNAcentral describes it as "bacterial SSU rRNA". It matches the Rfam family "Bacterial small subunit ribosomal RNA", at positions 68 to 680 of the family's 1533-position model. The record is from RNAcentral.
GGUAGCAGGAAGUGCUUGCACUUUGCUGACGAGUGGCGGACGGGUGAGUAAUACUUAGGAACAUGCCUUUGUGUGGGGGAUAACCAUUGGAAACGAUGGCUAAUACCGCAUAAUGUCUUUGGACCAAAGAGGGCUUUCGGGCUCUCGCGCAAAGAGUGGCCUAAGUGAGAUUAGCUUGUUGGUGAGGUAAAGGCUCACCAAGGCGACGAUCUCUAGCUGUUCUGAGAGGAAGAUCAGCCACACUGGGACUGAGACACGGCCCAGACUCCUACGGGAGGCAGCAGUGGGGAAUAUUGCACAAUGGGGGCAACCCUGAUGCAGCCAUGCCGCGUGUGUGAAGAAGGCCUUCGGGUUGUAAAGCACUUUCAGUUGUGAGGAAAGGUUGAUGGUUAAUACCCAUCAGCUGUGACGUUAGCAACAGAAGAAGCACCGGCUAACUCCGUGCCAGCAGCCGCGGUAAUACGGAGGGUGCGAGCGUUAAUCGGAAUUACUGGGCGUAAAGCGCACGCAGGCGGUUAUAUAAGCUAGAUGUGAAAGCCCCGGGCUCAACCUGGGAAUAGCAUUUAGAACUGUAUGACUAGAGUCUUGGAGAGGGGAGUGGAAUUCCAGGUGUAGCG